AGGACUCAUCCACAGUCUAAACAAAUAUAUGCAAUCCUCACAGAAUUGAUUCGACGAAUUAAAGUUCUUGGAUAUGUUCCAGAGACUAGCUUUGCUCUCCAUGAUGUGGAUGAUGAAGAGAAAGGUGAUCUUCUUUUUGAACACAGUGAGAAGUUGGCUCUUGCCUAUGGCAUUCUAACAUCAGCUCCAGGCGCACCCAUCAGGAUUACCAAGAAUUUGCGUGUAUGUGGUGAUUGCCACAGCGCC
This 246-nucleotide unclassified non-coding RNA is filed under the name Hevea brasiliensis (rubber tree). Lineage: Eukaryota; Viridiplantae; Streptophyta; Magnoliopsida; Malpighiales; Euphorbiaceae. The record is from RNAcentral.